Molecule: ribosomal RNA, 301 nt
Filed under: uncultured bacterium
Lineage: Bacteria
Description: partial 16S ribosomal RNA
Rfam family: Bacterial small subunit ribosomal RNA
Source: RNAcentral
CAGUCGCCGCGGGAAUACAGAGGGUGCGAGCGUUAAUCGGAUUUACUGGGCGUAAAGCGUGCGUAGGCGGCUUGUUAAGUCGGAUGUGAAAUCCCUGAGCUUAACUUAGGAAUUGCAUUCGAUACUGGGAAGCUAGAGUAUGGGAGAGGAUGGUAGAAUUCCAGGUGUAGCGGUGAAAUGCGUAGAGAUCUGGAGGAAUACCGAUGGCGAAGGCAGCCAUCUGGCCUAAUACUGACGCUGAGGUACGAAAGCAUGGGGAGCAAACAGGAUUAGAUACCCCCGUAGUCCCUGUCUCUUAUAC